GAGAAACCCUUCUGGGGCAAGACUUGCUUCAGUGGGGCUUUGGUGCUCACUGAGUCUGCCCUCUGAGUGUGUCCCU
Molecule: microRNA precursor, 76 nt
Filed under: Myotis brandtii (Brandt's bat)
Lineage: Eukaryota; Metazoa; Chordata; Mammalia; Chiroptera; Vespertilionidae
Description: mir-9229 microRNA precursor family
Rfam family: mir-9229 microRNA precursor family
Source: Rfam by way of RNAcentral